UGGGGAAUAUUGGGCAAUGGGGGAAACCCUGACCCAGCGACGCCGCGUGGGUGAUGAAGGCCUUCGGGUCGUAAAGCCUUGUCAAGAGGAAAGAAUGCCUCUAGGGUAAAUAGCCCUAGAGAAUGACGGUACCUCUGAAGGAAGCACCGGCCAACUCCGUGCCAGCAGCCGCGGUAAGACGGAGGGUGCAAGCGUUGCUCGGAAUCAUUGGGCGUAAAGGGUGCGUAGGCGGCUUCUUAAGUCUGACGUGAAAGCCCAGGGCUCAGCCCUGGAAGUGCGCUAGAAACUGAGAAGCUUGAGUGCCGGAGGGGAGAGUGGAAUUCCUGGUGUAGCGGUGAAAUGCGUAGAUAUCAGGAGGAAUACCGGUGGCGAAAGCGACUCUCUGGACGGUAACUGACGCUGAGGCACGAAAGCGUGGGUAGCAAACAG
RNAcentral lists this ribosomal RNA (429 nucleotides) under uncultured bacterium. RNAcentral describes it as "bacterial SSU rRNA". It matches the Rfam family "Bacterial small subunit ribosomal RNA", at positions 355 to 775 of the family's 1533-position model. The record is from RNAcentral.